RNAcentral lists this ribosomal RNA (658 nucleotides) under uncultured Oenococcus sp. RNAcentral's name for it is "partial 16S ribosomal RNA". The record is from RNAcentral. Lineage: Bacteria; Bacillati; Bacillota; Bacilli; Lactobacillales; Lactobacillaceae.
UAUGCUUUCUGGUAGUACGUCAGCUGAAACUUUCUCUGAAUUCAGUUAUUCUUCCCAUACAACAGUGCUUUACGACCCGAAAGCCUUCAUCACACACGCGGCGUCGCUCCGUCACACUUGCGGGCAUUGCGAAAAAUACCCUACGGCUGCCUCCCGUAGGAGUAGGGAAAGUGCAGGAUGCGGAAGAGUGACGGAUGACGCGGAGAGAAAAAAAGGGUUGGGUCAAAGAUGUGGGAAGGGAAGAAAACUGAAGAAAGAAGUUUAGUAGAGGUCAACAAAAGGGGAGGGCAAAAUAGUGCCGCGCGGGAAAAAAAAUUUUUUUUUUUUGUUAUUCUCGUUAUUUUUUGUAAAAUCGCUCUUUCCCGGUCUCCGUUCCCCUACUUUUGGGUUUUGCUUCUCUUCCGUUUGGUUCCCGCUGGCCUGCACUGGGCCCUUUAUUAGGGCUCUCUUGGGGGCCUCUCUUGACCCCGAGAUCUUCGCUUUUUCGUUCUCCCCUAUUUUUGGAGUAAAACAGCCACUUUUUUUCCUUCUUCCUUCCCCCCCCCCUUUUCCUCUCCCCUUNUUUCCUUUUUUUCCCUUAUAUUUUCUCUUUUUCUUCUUUUUUUUUUUUUCCUUUUUUUCGCUCUUUUUUUUUUUUUUCGCCCCGGAUNUACCUCGA